RNAcentral lists this ribosomal RNA (253 nucleotides) under uncultured bacterium. RNAcentral's name for it is "partial 16S ribosomal RNA". It matches the Rfam family "Bacterial small subunit ribosomal RNA", at positions 524 to 776 of the family's 1533-position model. The record is from RNAcentral.
UACGGAGGGUGCAAGCGUUAUCCGGAUUUACUGGGUUUAAAGGGUGUGUAGGCGGGCUGUUAAGUCAGUGGUGAAAUCUCAAGGCUCAACCUUGAAACUGCCAUUGAUACUAUCAGUCUUGAAUCUUGUUGAGGUAGGCGGAAUAUGUCAUGUAGCGGUGAAAUGCUUAGAUAUGACAUAGAACACCGAUUGCGAAGGCAGCUUACUAAACAAGCAUUGACGCUGAGGCACGAAAGCGUGGGGAUCAAACAGG